This 537-nucleotide long non-coding RNA is filed under the name Gallus gallus (chicken). The record is from RNAcentral. Lineage: Eukaryota; Metazoa; Chordata; Aves; Galliformes; Phasianidae.
CCCGCUGCGACAGCGUACCCGGAACGCCAGGCUGCCGUUGGAGAAGCUGCCGCUGGAGUCGGACGUGGGGACGCCCCGGAGUUCGGCCGUCAGCGCCGUGUGGUUCAUGGUGCGGUUGAUGCUGUCCCAGGAGAAGUCCGACAGAUCGUACGUGGGGUAGAAGACCUCCUCCGAUGCGUUGGCAUUGCUGUACUCAAACAGCUUGGUGAAGAUGACAGCAGCUGCAUACACCACACUGCCGGGCGGAUCGAUCCACACGGCGCCGGUGGGCGCGGGGGACAGCAGACGGCCCCAGUCGAUGGACAGAGCGCUGUCGGGGCUGCGUGUGGCCACCAGCAGCACUGAGGGGGCCCCGAUGGUGCUCCACACGUAAUGCAGCGCAUCGCUGCGCCCCACCGCCCGCACGUGCAGAACGUUGACCGAGGAACCGUUCCAGCCGGGGUUGUACUGCAUCGACACCUCCCGUCCGCCGACCGCCGCCGCCGCCCCCAGCAGCAGCAGCGCGCCCAGCGCCGGCGCCGCCAUUCUCCUUCCGGC